RNAcentral lists this ribosomal RNA (425 nucleotides) under uncultured bacterium. Its description in RNAcentral is "bacterial SSU rRNA". It matches the Rfam family "Bacterial small subunit ribosomal RNA", at positions 354 to 777 of the family's 1533-position model. The record is from RNAcentral.
GUGAGGAAUAUUGGUCAAUGGCCGGGAGGCUGAACCAGCCAAGUCGCGUGAGGGAUGACGGUCCUAUGGAUUGUAAACCUCUUUUGUCGGGGAGCAAAGGACGCCACGUGUGGUGUUUUGCGAGUACCCGAAGAAAAAGCAUCGGCUAACUCCGUGCCAGCAGCCGCGGUAAUACGGAGGAUGCGAGCGUUAUCCGGAUUUAUUGGGUUUAAAGGGUGCGCAGGCGGAAUGUCAAGUCAGCGGUAAAAUUUCGGGGCUCAACCCCGUCGUGCCGUUGAAACUGGCGUUCUUGAGUGAGCGAGAAGUAUGCGGAAUGCGUGGUGUAGCGGUGAAAUGCAUAGAUAUCACGCAGAACUCCGAUUGCGAAGGCAGCAUACCGGCGCUCAACUGACGCUCAUGCACGAAAGCGUGGGUAUCGAACAGGA